Molecule: ribosomal RNA, 279 nt
Filed under: uncultured bacterium
Lineage: Bacteria
Description: partial 16S ribosomal RNA
Rfam family: Bacterial small subunit ribosomal RNA
Source: RNAcentral
UGCCAGCCGCCGCGGUAAUACGAAGGGUGCUAGCGUUGUUCGGAAUCACUGGGCGUAAAGCGCGUGUAGGCUGUCUUGCAAGUCGGGUGUGAAAGCCCAGGGCUCAACCCUGGAAGUGCACUCGAAACUGCAAGACUUGAGUCUCGGAGAGGGAGGCGGAAUUCUGGGUGUAGAGGUGAAAUUCGUAGAUAUCCAGAGGAACACCGGUGGCGAAGGCGGCCUCCUGGACGAGUACUGACGCUGAGACGCGAAAGCGUGGGGAGCAAACAGGAUUAGAUA